UACGUAGGGGGCUAGCGUUGUCCGGAAUCAUUGGGCGUAAAGCGCGCGUAGGCGGCCCUGUUAGUCCGCUGUAAAAGUCAAAGGCUCAACCUUUGAAUGCCGGUGGAUACUGCAGGGCUAGAGUCCGGAAGAGGAGAGUGGAAUUCCUGGUGUAGCGGUGAAAUGCGCAGAUAUCAGGAAGAACACCCGUGGCGAAGGCGGCUCUCUGGGACGGUACUGACGCUGAGACGCGAAAGCGUGGGGAGCGAACAGG
RNAcentral lists this ribosomal RNA (253 nucleotides) under uncultured bacterium. RNAcentral's name for it is "partial 16S ribosomal RNA". It matches the Rfam family "Bacterial small subunit ribosomal RNA", at positions 524 to 776 of the family's 1533-position model. The record is from RNAcentral.